Molecule: ribosomal RNA, 858 nt
Filed under: Urnula mediterranea
Lineage: Eukaryota; Fungi; Ascomycota; Pezizomycetes; Pezizales; Sarcosomataceae
Description: eukaryotic LSU rRNA
Rfam family: Eukaryotic large subunit ribosomal RNA
Source: RNAcentral
ACUGCGAGUGAAGCGGCAAAAGCUCAAAUUUGAAAUCUGGUACCUUUGGAUGCCCGAGUUGUAAUUUGGAGAGGCAACUUCGGAGGGGGCGCUGGCCUAAGUUCCUUGGAACAGGACGUCACAGAGGGUGAGAAUCCCGUGCUUGGCUGGCUGUCCUCCUUCAUGUGAAGUGUCUUCGACGAGUCGAGUUGUUUGGGAAUGCAGCUCAAAAUGGGUGGUAAACUCCAUCUAAGGCUAAAUAUUGGCGAGAGACCGAUAGCGCACAAGUAGAGUGAUCGAAAGAUGAAAAGCACUUUGAAAAGAGAGUUAAACAGUACGUGAAAUUGUUGAAAGGGAAGCGCUUGAGACCAGACUCGGUGAGAGGUGAUCAGCGGUUGCUUCUGCUCCGUGCACUUGCCUGUUAUCGGGCCAGCAUCAGUUGCGACGGCGGGAUAAAGCUUUGAGGAAUGUGGCUCCCUUCGGGGAGUGUUAUAGCCUUGGGGGUAAUGCCGCCUGUUGCGACUGAGGACCGCGCUUCGGUUAGGAUGCUGGCAUAAUGGUCUUCAGCGACCCGUCUUGAAACACGGACCAAGGAGUCUAACAUCUAUGCGAGUGUUCGGGUGGAAAACCCCUACGCGUAAUGAAAGUGAACGGAGGUGGGAACUCUUUGGAGUGCACCAUCGACCGAUCCUGAUGUCUUCGGAUGGAUUUGAGUAGGAGCAUAGCUGUUGGGACCCGAAAGAUGGUGAACUAUGCCUGAAUAGGGUGAAGCCAGAGGAAACUCUGGUGGAGGCUCGCAGCGGUUCUGACGUGCAAAUCGAUCGUCAAAUUUGGGUAUAGGGGCGAAAGACUAAUCGAACCAUCUAGUAGCUGGUUCCU